This 497-nucleotide ribosomal RNA is filed under the name uncultured bacterium. RNAcentral describes it as "partial 16S ribosomal RNA". It matches the Rfam family "Bacterial small subunit ribosomal RNA", at positions 28 to 507 of the family's 1533-position model. The record is from RNAcentral.
GAUGAACGCUGGCGGCGUGCCUAAUACAUGCAAGUCGAGCGGACGGACCAGAAGUUUGCCUCCCGGAUGAUAGCGGCGGACGGGAGUGUAACACGUGGAAAACCCACCUAUAAGACGGGGAUGACUUCGAGACACCGGAGAUUAUACCGUACAAUAUUUUGAAGCGCAUGGUUCAACAGGGAAAGACGGUGUUGCUGUCUCAUAUAGAGGGAUCCGAGCUGCAUUAGCUAGUUGGUAAGGUAACGGCUUACCAAGGCAACGAGGCGUGGCCGACGUGAGAGGCUGGUCGGCCACACUGGAGCUGGGACACCGUCCCGGCUCCUACGGGAGGCCGCAGUCGGCAAUCUGCCGCAAUGGUCGAAAGCCUUGCGGAGCAGCGCCGCGUGUGUGAUGGCGGUCCUCGGAUCGUAACACUCUCUUACUAGUGGAAAACCUCUGUGUGCGUAACUGUGCCCAUCUUGACGGUACCUGCUCAGAAAGCCCCGGCUAACUACGUG